CAAAUCAUGCAAAUAGUAAUAAAUUAUGUAAAUAAUAUCCCAAGAUAACAACACACAGUGAGCGUCUUCCCCCAGUGCGGCAAUUUGCUGAAGUGUCCUUGAGCAAGACAGAAUAUUUGAGCCAUUCGUGCUCAAGAGGCUGUGUAGGGGUUGGCUGAGCCUGUGCAUAAAUCUGAGGGCUCUAGGAGAAAUUCCCCUUUUUGGAUUAAUAAUGAAUAUAAAACUAAAAGUACCAACUGUGCUCUGUAGGUAUGUUGAGUUUAAGUUGCUAUAACAAAACAGCAUUUGUCCCCAGCAUCCCUAAAGUCAAGGUUCUGUUUAGUGGCCCUGAGAGCUUAAUGCACUGCAAUUUAGAAAACAAAGUAUGACACUAAAUAAGGAACUAUAUCUUGUUUUAUAUUAUAUGAAGGAUAUGCAUUAAUGAAUAUUUAUUGUUUUUGUUUACCUUGUGCACAGACAAAGAAAUGCAUUUUAUUAUGUACUGUAAUUAACUAUGUUUUACAGAGACUGUCCUUCCAAGGUACAGACAAAUUAUGUCUUACCAAUAUCUUCUGAAAGGGAUGCCAGUUUAGAAAAUGCUCCUAACGGUUUCAAAAAGCAGAGUUACUGAAUUAUUUGGAUUACUUUGCAAAGUAAAACCUGGAACCAUAACAAAAAUUGAUAAUGCCCCUCGGAAAUCAAAAAUGAACUGAGAGGUUCCAGACUAAAGUGAAUUUGCGAAUUUGGUUUGGCGAUGCAUGGCUAAGUAAACCCGCCUCUUGCAACAAACCCAGAGGGUUGAGCUGCUAUUACUGUGCUGAACUUGAUGAAAGCUUCACUGUGUAAAAGAGACAGAACAAUACUCUGAAGACCAGGCCCAUUGUUAGAUGUACCUCAAACUCUUUAUCUUCCUGACAUCAAUUAUGCAGCCUUAUUUCAUUUCCAAUGACAGAACAGUGUUAUAAAUAAAUCUAUCUCGCUUACAGAGCCCCAAGCAAUCGAAAAACCCGUCUGUGUAUUUAUGGAUUUAUUUGCUUUUCAAGUCUUUAAUUGGGAGUAUGAUUCAAAGAUAAAUAUCCUGGAGCCUUGCCAACUCCCUAGUUCUUUUCUACAACUUUAGUCUUAGUCUCUGUGGCUUCUCCAUAUUAAAAUUCUGGAUCAGUCACAAGAGAAAAGUAAUUUUCCACAGUGAAGACUUUUCCUCCAGUCUAGAUUUUGUUUGUGUUGUCUGUGUUUUCUCUGUUUUGUUUAGCCUCAUUAACUGGAGCUACCCUCAUUACACGUUAGGAAACAUUAUUUGCCAUUGUGAUUUCUCCAUCAAAUCAUUAUUCAUAGACUUCCGAUGAUACACAGCGCUGUCAGGCCGUUAUCGUCCUGAUGAUGUACAUUUUCAUUUGCUGGAAUUCAGUGAAUCUCAUCUCCUGCUGUGAAAAUGUGCUACGAAGAGUUGUUCAAACCGCUAUGUAUCCAUUUUAAAAAAUCCUAUAAAUUACCUUUAAGUAUCUGUAAAAUAUAGAGGAUAUAGAAGAUGUGAUUUUGACCAUCCAACUAGCAACCAAAAACAAACCUAAUUCAGUUAAUUUCAAUUCAGUUUGAUUCAAUUCAAGUCAGUUUUUCUUCUCCAAAAGGGAACUUAGAGUCAUGCAUACAUGCAACAAGACUAAGAGUCGACAGUUAUGCUAGUAGCAUGCUAACGUGUUGACAAUGACAAUGCUAUACAUGCUGCAUUUUCUUUAUCAUGUUGACUAACUUAGUUUAGUGUGUUAGUAUGAAAACAGCUGCUAUUAAUGGGAAUGUCAUUAGUUUUGCAUUUUAUUUGGUGAUAAACUUAGUAUUGGACAGAUGCUUGCACUAGAUCAUUCACAAAUGCCAACCUCAACUAAGAGAAGUCAGGGAUCAACAAAAGCCUAAAACAAGAGAAUCCCACUGACCACAAAUCACUAAAUGUCAUAAUUGUAAUAACUAAUCAGUGGGAAAUUACAUAUCUUUCAGUUGACAAACAGGCUACUAUGGUGGUUUCAAAGCUGUAUUCAUUAUUACAGGACGAGUUGUAAACAAAAUUAUGACAUAUUCAUAUUUGAUAGGAUACACUUUUGUGUAUCCCUGAGUCAUUUAACAUAUGAAAACAUUUUAAAGAAAGAAAAAAGACUGAUUUUUAUAUAAAAAUACUCAAAAAAAAGUUUUUUUAACAUAUAUUUGGCAUGAAACAAGAGGUAAUUGAACAAUUAAUACAGGGACACAAGAUUAGAACUGAAAAAUGUAUUUUUUUAAUUUCAUUGUGCCUUCAAGUAAAAAUACUUCCUCUCAAAAUGGUGAAAACAAAGCACGACAGAGACCCCAUGUCUGAGCCCCCAAAUCACUAAAUCCACCCGUCAGUACUCCAAGGCGAAACGUAGAGAGGAUUUUUUGGUACACUAGAGAAAUGACAACUCCUGCUGGCCUUUUAGAAAUCUUGGUCUUUCUGUUUGUGCUAAAGCACCAUGUUAAAUGGUUUACAAAGCAACACUCUAAAUACAACAGAUACCAAACAUAAUGAUACUGUAUCUCACCCGCUAACCUGUCAGACAAGCCUAUAACUUCCCAGAAGCUGAAGUGCACAUGCUAUCUGACACUUUUACUUUGUGACCCAUGUGAUUUUUCUUCUGGUGAAAUGCACUCCACUAUCAGUAGCAUCAUGCCAGGUUCUGUUUUGAAGAUACAUCAUUGCAGAAAUUGAGCUGCACAGAAAAGGGGCCAUAGGUGGCAGAGUGCACUGUGUUAUGGAGCAGUUAAUCUCUGUCAGAAUCUUUAUUUGAAAUGAAGAAUCCAUCCCUGCUGUUUGCUUUGGAUUCUUCAAGGGUGGGACCAGUAUACAAUAUCCUGACAGUCAAACACCUUGUCCAGUUGGCAGAUUAGUAGGAUUCAGCAGGAAUAUGCACAAAGUAUGCCCUGGAUAAUAAUAGAUCAUAGAAAAACAAGAGAAGAACCAGACCAGCUGGGAGACAGAAACACUGGGGAUAGUGUAUGGCCCUCUUAGUGCCGACCUCAUGUUAUACACUGUGAUGUGGCAAAGAAGGAAAAACAAAAUCACAUGGGGCCAUUUUAGAAUGGAAAUUGUGUCUAUGUUUGAGGAACAGGACAUUUAGUUGUAACGUUAGGACAAUGAUCUGCAAUCAGUGUCCUUUUGUUGAAUGCUGCUCUACACUGUAUGCCUGAUUAAGCCACUUCUUGAACUGCCUGCAUAGUUUUUACCUAUUGUGCAGUUGAUUUCUUUCAUACUUAUUCAAUACUAUAUACUUACUCUACUUACAAUACUACUAACAUACUUACUCAGCUUAGUUAAACAAUAUUUUUCCAGCUACAUGGCUGGACUGUAAGCUGCCAAUUUAGAAUGGAAAGUAACUGGAAGAAAAACAGAUGCAACUGAAAAGCUCAUCCAGUUAUAUCACUUUAAUAACAGCAUUCUGCUGUGGCUUUAAUGAGGUUUGAAGAAGGCUUCUUUGGGUCAGUACAUACAAUAAGACUUACAAUUUUAAGUACACAAACACACAGUUGCACAUGGACGUAAAAGGGCCCACAUCCACAGGCACAAAAACCCUUUCGUUAGGUUUAAGAAAAGAUCAUAGUAUGGGUUAAAAUAAGUAUUUUGUUAGUGUUACAGAAACAUGGUUUGGGUGAUUAUUUUCUUAAGGUUAGAAGACCUAUGUUGUCUUUGUUACAAUAGGUUUGGGGGCAAUAGUGGCUAUGGUUUUUAAAACACAGGUUUGACUUGCCAUCUCCCACAACAAAGUCCAAUGUUUUGUUGACCCGUCCAUGAACUCAUCUGAACUCCUUAUUUGCUUCCGUCUUAAUAACUAAAGCCAAUAGAAGGCUUCUGUCACUUGAAUGUAAAUAUAUGUCAUUUUGGGCCACUUGCAUUGACAACUGAUCCUGUUGUCAUUGUUGUUAGGAUAGUCUGGAAAACUCCCAGUUACCCACUGAAAUGUUUCCCAGGAAACAUGAGCAGAGUUUGGCAAGAAUUCCUGAGAACUCAUUGACUCAACAAAACUCAUUGACUUGCAAGGUUUGGCAUACAGCACUUGAAAUGUAGCUGUAAACAAACAAACACACAAACAUAAAGAAGCAGAGUCAGAGCGUCUCCAUGAGAGCCUCAUCGACCCGUCUUCAGACUGUAGCUUCAGGCUGAAGUUUUCAGAGACAUCACUGACUGUUUACUGUUUUGGUGCUAUGUGGAGAAGGAGUACUCUGAAGAGGCUCUCUACCAGUUGCAGACAUCCAGGUCUACCUACUUGUGUGAGCUCACUUUCUUAGCUAUGACACACAUAAAGACAAAACAGAGAAACCGACUUCAACUGGAGAGAAGUAUCAUUACAGCUGUUGCCGCUAUUCAACCCAAGUUACAGAAGAUCCUAAGUGGCAGACAAGUGUAAGUGUUUCACUGAUGGCUACACAGCACCUCUCACCACACACACACACAUACACACACCAAAAGUGCAGAUGCUUGGAUUAAGACUCCUUCACCACAACACACCCACAUGACAUACAGAGUGAGGAUGCUUUGCUUGGAACACACACCUUCUCCUCUGCCUCUACAGACAGACAGCACUAAUGGAUUUAAUUAUAUAAAAGUCAUUGAAAUCUCAUAUUCAUGUUUUUGUUUUUGUUCUUGAAGAGUGCAUAAAUAUGCUAUUUUGACAACCUGUUCUCACUCCCAGCUUGUCACAAACGGAAGCUUGGUCAGGACUGCUUGGCAUAACUUUUUAACGCACUGGGUACCUCUUUAGCAUCAUUUCAACGUGCAGACUUCUAUAGAACUCCCACAACAUCUGAAAUUGACGCCAUGAGACUGAUGACAUCGAUAGAAGGUGACAAAUUUCCAUAUUAAGAGGAGGUGGGUUGAGGCAGGUUGGGUGAAUGGCUAGAUAGAUGGCAAAAAGUGGACUUCCCGUUUCCAGUGGCAACUGUCACGUUUCCAACCGCUAGAUGGGACAGUUUUUAAAAAAAAACUGUAAAUAUGAUUGUCGUGGUGUUUACUGUUGCCUUGAUGAUGGAGGUUGCGUAACUUUAAGGAAGCAAUAACACCACGGGGGUCCUCAGGGCCGCUCAAAAUAUACAGGGGUUCCAGUAGCAUCCCAUAAAGGUUGAGGUUUCCAUGUUCCAUGUAUUCAUAUAUUACAUGAAUAUUGGUCAUAUUCAUCCUGCAUACUUUGUGACAGUCUGAGUACUUGCACUUGAGACAUUAGUCAGCUAUGUCAGUAUAUUUAUUACCGUCGUGCUCCAAAAUGUAUAGUCUAUGUGGUGUGUCUCUAGGUGUCAAAAAAAGGAAUUAAAUUAAAUGUUGAUGUGCCCUUAACUUUUUUCAGUGUCCAUUGAUUGUGAUGAACUCAGAUGUACUCUUGUUGAUGAUGUAACUGAUUAUGGAUUAGUACCAGGUGUGAAAUGUGCGUAUAUAUAAGGCUGUAUUUUGAACUUGCCUUGAGAAGGACCUAAUGUAGUUGAAACGUGGAUUAUAUAGUAAAAUUGUUGGAGUUUAGUGUGCCAUUGUGUUCCCUUUGAUAUACAGUAUGCUAUUGGCAUGACCAGUACCUAGUUUCGGGUGUGCAUUUAUCAGACAACUCUUAGGGCCAAAUCCACAAAGAAUGGAUCAUGUGCUUUAAUAGCACCGUGAAUUACGCAGCAUUUGCAACUGUAAUCUGCCCCGUUUUAAGGUCCUUUUCACAAAAGAUUUUGUGCCAACAAUAUGCCGGCACAAACACACCCAUAAAGUUUUGCAGCUGAGUGCAAUUUGCCCUUGUUGUGCGUCUGAUUGAUUGAGUGGAGCGGUUUCCAGUGUUGCAAGCUUUUCUCCACGUCAGCACACAGAUUGGUCCAUAAUGAAAACUGCAGACAGCACAAAAUGGCAUGUCUUUAAUUAGCAGAGGUGCACACACACAGAGCUCUCCACAAUGACAAACCAACUUUCAUGUAUUUUGCAUUUCUUACUUUUGCAUCUCUAACAUAAUCUACUGAAAUAUUUAUCAAAAUAGGCUACAGCUAUUAAUGCGUCACUGAAUGUUUCCGGGAUUUCAUAGAAACAUCAGUACUGAUGUUCUGUUUGUUGCCCACAGCUGGGUAAGUGCGUCUCCAAACUGAGAAAGAGGCUGUGCACAUUUACGCAUGCAGCACAUCAGCGGUAACUUCAUCAACAUCGGAUCGGACAGGAUCUGACGAGACUCUGUUCAUUCCCAAAUCCUUCAUCUGAUGAUGCAAACUCAGGCCAACCAGCAGCAAGAAAGACACAUGGUUGUUCAGAGACUCUUUACUGGCCAUUGUGAAUGUCCCUGGACAGCAUGUAGAGAAUAUUGCCAUGUGUGCAGCUGUUAGCCAGCAAGGUGUCCUCCAUCACCAUGUCAACCUUGGUCCCUGCAACACAGACCUUCUCAUAACACUGCUGGACACACUACAUGGCAUCCUCAUUCCAGUCGAGCAGAGGGGUGGACCACAGCAGCCCAGGUAUCUUGUCAUCUGGGACAACAUAGUUGUACUGCUCUGUUCCGCAACUGGUUCAUUGACCACCUACAAUUUAUUGCUCUAUACCUCCCACCAUAUUCCCCAUUCCUAAACCUCAUUCAAGAGUUUUUUUCAGCUGGCAUGGCGAUGGGAGGUGUAUGACUGCUAUCCGCUUGCAUGCAUGCUUUUUCUCCAGGCAAUGGAGGCUGCAUGUGGUGACGGUGAUGUGGGGGCUUUUGGCGGACAGAUCCAUCACUCCAGAAAAUAUGUUCCCUGCUGUUUAUCUAGGGAGAACAUUGCUUGUGAUGUAGAUGAGGUGCUGUGGCCAGACCAAAAUAGGAGGCAGGAUGCAAUCUAAUUUCUUUUUUCUUACAUUUAGUGUUUGUUUUUCUUUUUUGUGUUUAGAGUUUUGAAAAAAAUAGCCACUUUAUUUAUUUAUUUUUUUCAUCUUAGUGAAUAUUUUUUUCCUAGUUUUCUCCUGUUGGGUAUGUAAAGUGUUACAUAACAAAACAAAAAUGUUCCAAAAUACAUUUGCAUAAAAAAAAAAUA
This is a long non-coding RNA of Thunnus maccoyii (southern bluefin tuna), 6996 nucleotides long. RefSeq lists it as uncharacterized. The transcript is spliced from 3 exons. NCBI's taxonomy places the organism in Eukaryota, Metazoa, Chordata, Actinopteri, Scombriformes, Scombridae. The record is from RefSeq and is a predicted model, not a curated record.